Molecule: long non-coding RNA, 914 nt
Organism: Eubalaena glacialis (North Atlantic right whale)
Lineage: Eukaryota; Metazoa; Chordata; Mammalia; Artiodactyla; Balaenidae
Exons: 3
Source: RefSeq, a predicted model, not a curated record
CUGGCGCGGGGGUCACUGCCCCCAAGGAGGGACCUAGAGGGGGUGGAGGAGAGGCCGGAGGAGCAAAUGCGACAAGCUGGGAAAAUGCCCUCCCCGCUUUGGUUCUAGAAUCCCUACUCUCCUGGCAACGGGGCUGCUGAACCUCCGCAGACGCCAAGGGGGAUGGCAUCCACUGCUACCAGGAAUGUGGAGAAAAAGGGCAGCGGGCAAUCCCAAGCUACAACCUCUGCAGGCUCCUUGGGUGGAGGUCCGGGAGCUCUGCGUAGCAGCUUGACAUCUGGAGGGUGAUCCCAACUCUGGUGCUGCUCUUGGCCUCUCGUGCCCUCCCCCCGCUCUGUUCCUCUAGAACAUGCAUCAAAGCUCUUCUUUCACAACUCAUUCAACAGUUCGGUUUUGGGGCGAUUCCUGGUCAUGAGCAACAUCACCCCUGAAGCCUCCAAAGGGUUCUGGAACCAUCACACACCUCCACCCUCAGCUAGCAAGGACGCCACCAGAAAUCAAAAACUUUAAUAAAGUGACAGAGAUCCUUCCCUCCUCCCAGGCUGGGCAGUGCUCUCUGUGGGGUGAUGUGGGAGGCGUGCCCCUCCUCCUUUUUGCCAGAUAUGUGGGCGUAUUAUUUUAUUUAUUUCCUAUUCCUUUUUUUUUUUAAAUCAUCUUUACUGGAGUAUAAUUGUUUUACAAUGUUCCUAUUCCUUUUUUUUUUUUUUUUAAACAUCUAUUGGAGUAUAAUUGCUUUACAAUGGUGUGUUAGUUUCUUGGGCAUAUUAUUGGAAUGGCUGUUUUUUCUUUUUGAGUGAUUUUUCUUUUUUAAUUUUUUUUUUUUUUUCGCAGCACCAUGUGGCAUGUGGGAUCUUACUUCCCAGACCAAGGAUCAAACCGGCACCCCCCUGCAGUGGAAACGCAGAGUCUUAACC